AGAAUGCUGACAUGAGUAGCGACAAAGAGUGUGAGAAACACUCUCGCCGUAAGUCCAAGGGUUCCUCGGCAAGGCUAAUCCGCCGAGGGUGAGCCGGCCCCUAAGGCGAGGCCGAAAGGCGUAGUCGAUGGGAACCAGGUUAAUAUUCCUGGGCCAGCGGGUAGUGACGGAUUGCGGACGUUGUACACUCUUACUGGAUUGAGUGUGCAGCCAAGCCGUCCCUGGAAAUAGCUCCCGCAUGAGACCGUACCCCAAACCGACACAGGUGGACUGGUAGAGCAUACCAAGGCGCUUGAGAGAAC
RNAcentral lists this ribosomal RNA (302 nucleotides) under Proteomonas sulcata. Its description in RNAcentral is "partial Bacterial large subunit ribosomal RNA". It matches the Rfam family "Bacterial large subunit ribosomal RNA", at positions 1291 to 1699 of the family's 2925-position model. Lineage: Eukaryota; Cryptophyceae; Pyrenomonadales; Geminigeraceae. The record is from RNAcentral.